Molecule: ribosomal RNA, 443 nt
Filed under: uncultured bacterium
Lineage: Bacteria
Description: partial 16S ribosomal RNA
Rfam family: Bacterial small subunit ribosomal RNA
Source: RNAcentral
CCUACGGGUGGCAGCAGUGGGGAAUAUUGGGCAAUGGGCGCAAGCCUGACCCAGCAACGCCGCGUGAAGGAAGAAGGCUUUCGGGUUGUAAACUUCUUUUCUCAGGGACGAAGCAAGUGACGGUACCUGAGGAAUAAGCCACGGCUAACUACGUGCCAGCAGCCGCGGUAAUACGUGGGUGGCAAGCGUUAUCCGGAUUUACUGGGUGUAAAUGGCGUGUAGGCGGGGACGUAAGUCAGAUGUGAAAACCACGGGCUCAACCUGUGGCCUGCAUUUGAAACUGUGUUUCUUGAGUACUGGAGAGGCAGACGGAAUUCCUAGUGUAGCGGUGAAAUGCGUAGAUAUUAGGAGGAACACCAGUGGCGAAGGCAGCAUACCGGCGCCCAACUGACGCUGAAGCACGAAAGCGUGGGUAUCGAACAGGAUUAGAUACCCGAGUAGUC